RNAcentral lists this transfer RNA (73 nucleotides) under Bos taurus (domestic cattle). It matches the Rfam family "tRNA". From Rfam's summary of the family: Transfer RNA (tRNA) molecules are approximately 80 nucleotides in length. Their secondary structure includes four short double-helical elements and three loops (D, anti-codon, and T loops). Further hydrogen bonds mediate the characteristic L-shaped molecular structure. tRNAs have two regions of fundamental functional importance: the anti-codon, which is responsible for specific mRNA codon recognition, and the 3' end, to which the tRNAs corresponding amino acid is attached (by aminoacyl-tRNA synthetases). tRNAs cope with the degeneracy of the genetic code in two manners: having more than one tRNA (with a specific anti-codon) for a particular amino acid; and 'wobble' base-pairing, i.e. permitting non-standard base-pairing at the 3rd anti-codon position. The record is from Rfam by way of RNAcentral. Lineage: Eukaryota; Metazoa; Chordata; Mammalia; Artiodactyla; Bovidae.
UUCUCAGUGGUCCAAUGAUUAGGACUCCACACUUCCACUGCAGGGAGUGCAGGUUUGAUCCCUGCUCGGGGAA